GGACGAACGCUGGCGGCGUGCUUAACACAUGCAAGUGGUGCGACGAACCAGGGCUUGCCCUGGGGCAAAGCCGCGAACGGGUGAGUAACACUGGGGGGGGGAGUAAUCUGCCCCGAUGAUCGGGACAACCCGAGGAAACUCGGGCUAAUACCGGAUGAUGAGCCAUGGCGUAAGCCUUGUCUCUAAAGGAAGCUUCGGCCUCCGCAUUGGGAGGAGCUCGCGGCCCAUUAGCUUGNGGUGGGGGUAACGGCCCACCAAGGCAACGAUGGGUAGCUGGUCUGAGAGGACGAUCAGCCACGCUGGGACUGAGACACGGCCCAGACUCCUACGGGAGGCAGCAGUGGGGAAUCUUGCGCAAUGCGCGAAAGCGUGACGCAGCAACGCCGCGUGGGGGAAGACGGCCUCGG
This 407-nucleotide ribosomal RNA is filed under the name uncultured bacterium. Its description in RNAcentral is "bacterial SSU rRNA". It matches the Rfam family "Bacterial small subunit ribosomal RNA", at positions 27 to 420 of the family's 1533-position model. The record is from RNAcentral.